RNAcentral lists this ribosomal RNA (446 nucleotides) under uncultured bacterium. Its description in RNAcentral is "partial 16S ribosomal RNA". It matches the Rfam family "Bacterial small subunit ribosomal RNA", at positions 338 to 795 of the family's 1533-position model. The record is from RNAcentral.
CCUACGGGUGGCAGCAGUCGAGAAUCAUUCACAAUGGGGGAAACCCUGAUGGUGCGACGCCGCGUGGGGGAAUGAAGGUCUUCGGAUUGUAAACCCCUGUCAUGUGGGAGCAAAUUAAAAAGAUAGUACCACAAGAGGAAGAGACGGCUAACUCUGUGCCAGCAGCCGCGGUAAUACAGAGGUCUCAAGCGUUGUUCGGAAUCACUGGGCGUAAAGCGUGCGUAGGCUGUUUCGUAAGUCGUGUGUGAAAGGCGCGGGCUCAACCCGCGGACGGCACAUGAUACUGCGAGACUAGAGUAAGGGAGGGGGAACCGGAAUUCUCGGUGUAGCAGUGAAAUGCGUAGAUAUCGAGAGGAACACUCGUGGCGAAGGUGGGUUCCUGGACAUUAACUGACGCUGAGGCACGAAGGCCAGGGGAGCGAAAGGGAUUAGAUACCCUUGUAGUC